Molecule: ribosomal RNA, 677 nt
Filed under: Bacillus cereus
Lineage: Bacteria; Bacillati; Bacillota; Bacilli; Caryophanales; Bacillaceae
Description: bacterial SSU rRNA
Rfam family: Bacterial small subunit ribosomal RNA
Source: RNAcentral
AUUAAGAGCUUGCUCUUAUGAAGUUAGCGGCGGACGGGUGAGUAACACGUGGGUAACCUGCCCAUAAGACUGGGAUAACUCCGGGAAACCGGGGCUAAUACCGGAUAACAUUUUGAACCGCAUGGUUCGAAAUUGAAAGGCGGCUUCGGCUGUCACUUAUGGAUGGACCCGCGUCGCAUUAGCUAGUUGGUGAGGUAACGGCUCACCAAGGCAACGAUGCGUAGCCGACCUGAGAGGGUGAUCGGCCACACUGGGACUGAGACACGGCCCAGACUCCUACGGGAGGCAGCAGUAGGGAAUCUUCCGCAAUGGACGAAAGUCUGACGGAGCAACGCCGCGUGAGUGAUGAAGGCUUUCGGGUCGUAAAACUCUGUUGUUAGGGAAGAACAAGUGCUAGUUGAAUAAGCUGGCACCUUGACGGUACCUAACCAGAAAGCCACGGCUAACUACGUGCCAGCAGCCGCGGUAAUACGUAGGUGGCAAGCGUUAUCCGGAAUUAUUGGGCGUAAAGCGCGCGCAGGUGGUUUCUUAAGUCUGAUGUGAAAGCCCACGGCUCAACCGUGGAGGGUCAUUGGAAACUGGGAGACUUGAGUGCAGAAGAGGAAAGUGGAAUUCCAUGUGUAGCGGUGAAAUGCGUAGAGAUAUGGAGGAACACCAGUGGCGAAGGCGACUUUCUG